Long non-coding RNA from Beta vulgaris subsp. vulgaris (sugar beet), 2539 nucleotides. RefSeq lists it as uncharacterized. The record is from RefSeq and is a predicted model, not a curated record. NCBI's taxonomy places the organism in Eukaryota, Viridiplantae, Streptophyta, Magnoliopsida, Caryophyllales, Amaranthaceae. The transcript has 6 exons.
AAACGGAGCACUUGAGUAUUCUUUUGGGCCCCAAAAAUCCCUCCCUCUAAGCCUUGCACCCGCAUUUACUCUUUUCCCAUCUCCAAUUCCUUCGUUGAAUUUGAACCCCUCUCGCUAUCUCUCUCAGUGUCUCUCCUUCCAUCUUCUCUCUUCCAUUAAUGGGGUCCCCUCUCCGGUUCCCAGGGUUGUGACGGAAACAACCAGCAAACUACUCUCGUAUCUCUCAUUCACACAUCGUCACGGCGGGCGACGCUAAUGCGAGAGCAGACGACGUUAAGGCGGACGGCCGCCACGACUCCUUGAUGAUGGAGUGACAGACACAACCAGCAUCCUCUUCUCCUUCUCUCACGGUGGUAGCUGCGCAAUCAUCUGAGCUGUACCUGCGUUUUCUACAGAAGAUGCUAGAGUGUUUGAAUAAGGCUAAUAAAUCAGAUUUUCUUUCGGUUAGUUUGAUUAUUUGAUUAUAUAUUUCUUGUUAUUUUUAGUGUUUGAUCAGUUCGGAUACGAAUUCUAAGCAAAGUAGGUCCAGUGAAAUUUGAAUUUGAGUGAAUUAUUGUUAGUAAUGUAACUUACCUGGAUGUAUUCUUCUGUAUUCUGGUGCCUUUCAAAAUUUUCAUUUGGAUUAACAUAAUAUGGACUUGUAGGAUAUUGCACAGGAUUAGCUUUGGAAGGCAUUAUGAAUUUGAGAGAAAAAUUUGAUCAAAGAAGAGAAAAUUGAACAAAUCUAAGAUCAAAAACAAUCAAACGAUGUGAUUUAAUCUUUAAACAAAAUCUAAUUUUCCAGAAUUUCAAGAAAUGACAAUUAUCAAACAAUCAAAUCAAAACUAAGAACCUGAUUUCUGUAAAUUCUGACUUAUGUAAUUUGAUGUUUUACAGAAAUUUGCUGCUGUUCUAUGUUGAAAUUUCGAUUUGAGUUUGAAAGAAUUUGCGAAUUUGCUACUGAAAUGUAGCUGAAUUUCCACCAGGAUCUUAGCGUAGAUCCUGCUGUGAUACCAUAAAGAAGUUCAUAUAACUUCACAUAAAAACUGAUUGAAUUUAAAGAAAGUUUAAAGAGAAAGUAGAGAGAAGAGAGGGAGAAGAAUUUUUAUUAUAAACGAAUGAGCUACUAGAACUCACUGUCAACUUAUUAUAUUGACAGCUUUCAUUGCAGAAAUGGGUCUUUCAACUAACUAACUAACUAACUUUUCUAACAACAUGAGAAGUAGUUAUAACAGAAUAAAACUAUAAUGUUGAGUCAUCAGUUUGUUGAGCUUGAGCUUUGAGCUGCUUGGGCUUAGCUUGCUAUUGAGCAUGUUCAUCAAUACUUGUGCAUACAAGGGACAAAAAUAAUACAAGAAAACAUGUCACUCUCAUUACUAAUCUUUAUCUGCAAAUCACACUGUUUUCCUUUGUUAUUAUUGAUCAAUAUUUGUAGGAUGCACUAAAAUUAAAAAAUUUGCAUAAGAAAUGGUUGCAAUUUCCCAUUGAAGCUAUGACUCCUUCACAUCUUUGACAAGCCUCAGUGCUUUGUGGAGCAAAUAGACAUGCAUGGACACUUGUAGUAAACAGUCUUGUAACUUAAGACAUCCAUGAAUAAUUAUAGUAAACAGUGAUCUAAUCUAUUUGAAUGUAGUAGUUAUUUUUAUUUAUGCUCUUGAAAUUGGGAAUUUGACAAUUGUGCAAACAGCCAAACAGAUAGAGAUCUUGUCACCUUUAUCUGGUUGGCAUUCUCGAAUACUACAAAAUUUUCAAAAAAAUGGUGCUUAAUUUUGCUACUUCUUAAUUUUAUGGACUUUAGCCACAUAGACAAGGACAAUAAGUUACUGGAGUAGAUUAUUUUCCUGUGCUCUUAUUGCUGUUGUUAGCAAAAAUCUAUCUAUAUUUUUAUCGUCAAGUAUCUGAAGUCUAAACAUUGUAUUGAUCCUGAAUUCUGCAGGUCUGUUGCAUAUGCACUUGAAGCACUAGGUUUUCCGCGGGGAUCAACAAUAGCUAUAGAUUUGCCAAUGAAUGUUGAUUCCGUGAUCUUCUAUCUUGCUAUCAUUCUUACAGGCAAUCUUGUUGUGUCCAUUGCUGAUAGUAUUCUGUCUACCUUUCACAGUGUCAGACAUUGAACGAGGAAGAAAAUUUUGAGGUUCAGGACAGAGAAUCACUUUUUCCUCUUGGAUGGAUUCAUGUUCUUGAGUAUCGUGGUGAACAGGUGAGGCGCAGUGUUGCUGAUUUGAGAGAGGCACAGUAUCGUGUAGAAGAAAAAGCGACUAUCUGUUUAAGAUCAGUGAAGAUGUAGUAAUCGAUGCUACUAACAAAGGAAACAUUGCUCGCCUAAUCAACCACUCCGUGUUCCAUUUUCUCAGCAACUUAUUUGCAUGGCGUGAUUACUUUAAUAAUUGAGCUUGGUGCAAACUUUUUCUGUCUACUAGUUAGAUAUAGGAUUCUUGCUCCUGUAUCUAUAUUGCUGUAACUUUCGUAAUGCAAAUAAAUGAUCUCUGUUUAUGAAAAAUAAUGUGAUGUUUGUCCUUUUCUCUUUGUUCGAAGAGCAAGUCUUGGGAGGGGGAUAUGUUUG